AGUGCAAUGGCAUGAUCUCGGCUCACUGCAACUUCUGCCUCCCAGGUUCCAGCGAUUCUCCUGCCUCAGCCUUCCAAGUAUCUGGGACUACAGAUAUACAUCACCUGCCACCUGAAGGUCACCCUAGCUGAACAGGACCCAGAUGAACUCAACAAAGCCUGUUCCUUCAGCAAGCCUUCCAACAGCUGGUUCCCAGUGGAAGGCCCGGCUGACAUCUGUCAAUGCUGUAACAAAGGUGACUGUGGCACUCCAAGCCAUUCCAGGAGGCAGCCCCAUGUCGUGAGCCAGUGGUCCAGGUCUGCUUCCCGUAACCGCAGGCAUGUGACAGAAGAAGCAGAUGUCACCGUGGGGCCACUGAUCUUCCUGGACAGGAGUGGUGACUAUGAAGUAGAGCAGUGGGCCUUGCCUUCUGACACCUCAGUGGUGCUGCUGGGUAUAGGCCUGGCCGUGGUGGCAUCCCUGACUCUGACUGCUGUUAUCCUGGUUCUCACCAGGAGGUGUCGCACUGCCUCCCGCCCUGUGUCUGCUUCCGAAUAAAAGAAGAAAGCAAUA
Molecule: small RNA, 552 nt
Filed under: Pongo abelii (Sumatran orangutan)
Lineage: Eukaryota; Metazoa; Chordata; Mammalia; Primates; Hominidae
Description: processed transcript
Source: RNAcentral